CAAUAGCGUAUAUUAAAGUUGUUGCAGUUAAAAAGCUCGUAGUUGGAUUUCUGGUAGGAGUGACCGUUCCGAACUUGAUUGUUCGUGUAUUGUGUUUUCUCCAGCCAUCCUUGUGGAGAACUUUUCUUGCAUUAAUUUGUAGGGAUUGGGACCCGCAUCGUUUACUGUGAAAAAAUUAGAGUGUUUAAAGCAGGCAAUCGCUUGAAUACAUUAGCAUGGAAUAAUAAGAUAGGACUUUGGUACUAUUUUGUUGGUUUGCAUACCAAAUUAAUGAUCAACAGGAACAGUUUGAGGAUAUUCGUAUGAACAUGUCAGAGGUGAAAUUCUUGGAUUUUGAUCAGACGAACUACAGCGAAAGCAUUUAUCAAGGAUGUUUUCAUUAA
Molecule: ribosomal RNA, 383 nt
Filed under: uncultured eukaryote
Lineage: Eukaryota
Description: partial 18S ribosomal RNA
Rfam family: Eukaryotic small subunit ribosomal RNA
Source: RNAcentral